This 76-nucleotide transfer RNA is filed under the name Candidatus Aerophobota bacterium. RNAcentral describes it as "Candidatus Aerophobetes bacterium tRNA-Gly". It matches the Rfam family "tRNA". Rfam says of the family: Transfer RNA (tRNA) molecules are approximately 80 nucleotides in length. RNAcentral also lists the same sequence under 1 other name. The record is from RNAcentral. Lineage: Bacteria; Candidatus Aerophobota.
GCGGGAAUAGCUCAGCUGGUAGAGCAUCACCUUGCCAAGGUGAGGGUCGCGGGUUCAAAUCCCGUUUCCCGCUCCA